GGGGGUUGGUGGCGUUCUCUUUC
This 23-nucleotide non-coding RNA is filed under the name Arabidopsis thaliana (thale cress). Lineage: Eukaryota; Viridiplantae; Streptophyta; Magnoliopsida; Brassicales; Brassicaceae. The record is from RNAcentral.